RNAcentral lists this ribosomal RNA (484 nucleotides) under uncultured bacterium. Its description in RNAcentral is "partial 16S ribosomal RNA". It matches the Rfam family "Bacterial small subunit ribosomal RNA", at positions 30 to 507 of the family's 1533-position model. The record is from RNAcentral.
AUUGAACGCUGGCGGCAGGCCUAACACAUGCAAGUCGAGCGGAUGAAGGGAGCUUGCUCCUGGAUUCAGCGGCGGACGGGUGAGUAAUGCCUAGGAAUCUGCCUGGUAGUGGGGGAUAACGUCCGGAAACGGGCGCUAAUACCGCAUACGUCCUGAGGGAGAAAGUGGGGGAUCUUCGGACCUCACGCUAUCAGAUGAGCCUAGGUCGGAUUAGCUAGUUGGUGGGGUAAAGGCCUACCAAGGCGACGAUCCGUAACUGGUCUGAGAGGAUGAUCAGUCACACUGGAACUGAGACACGGUCCAGACGCCUACGGGAGGCAGCAGUGGGGAAUAGUGGACAAUGGGCGAAAGCCUGAUCCAGCCAUGCCGCGUGUGUGAAGAAGGUCUUCGGAUUGUAAAGCACGUUAAGUUGGGAGGAAGGGCAGUAAGUUAAUACCUUGCUGUUGUGACGUUACCAACAGAAGAAGCACCGGCUAACUUCGUG